Molecule: ribosomal RNA, 570 nt
Filed under: uncultured bacterium
Lineage: Bacteria
Description: bacterial SSU rRNA
Rfam family: Bacterial small subunit ribosomal RNA
Source: RNAcentral
ACGGGUGAGUAACACGUAAGGAACCUGCCUCAAGGAUUGGGAUAACUCCGAGAAAUCGGAGCUAAUACCGGAUAGUUCAACGGACCGCAUGGUCCGCUGAUGAAAGGCGCUCCGGCGUCACCUUGAGAUGGCCUUGCGGUGCAUUAGCUAGUUGGUGGGGUAACGGCCCACCAAGGCGACGAUGCAUAGCCGACCUGAGAGGGUGAUCGGCCACACUGGGACUGAGACACGGCCCAGACUCCUACGGGAGGCAGCAGUAGGGAAUCUUCCACAAUGGACGAAAGCCUGAUGGAGCAACGCCGCGUGAGUGAUGAAGGUUUUCGGAUCGUAAAACUCUGUUGUAAGGGAAGAACACGUACGAGAGGGAAUGCUCGUACCUUGACGGUACCUUACGAGAAAGCCACGGCUAACUACGUGCCAGCAGCCGCGGUAAUACGUAGGUGGCAAGCGUUGUCCGGAAUUAUUGGGCGUAAAGCGCGCGCAGGCGGCCUUUUAAGUCUGAUGUGAAAGCCCCCGGCUCAACCGGGGAGGGCCAUUGGAAACUGGAAGGCUUGAGUACAGAAGAGAAGA